AAUCAACGCUGGCGGCGUGCCUAACACAUGCAAGUCGAACGCGAAAGCCCCGCAAGGGGCAAGUAGAGUGGCAAACGGGGUGAGUAACGCGUGGGGUGACCUACCUUGGAGUGGGGGGAUAACGUUCCGAAAGGGACGCUAAUACCGCAUGACAUCCUGCCUUUGAACAGGCGGAGAUCAAAGCCUGGGACCGCAAGGCCAGGCGCUUGAAGAGGGGGCCCGCGUCCGAUUAGCAGUUGGCGAGGUAACGGCUCACCAAGGCGACGAUCGGUAGCCGGCCUAAGAGGGCGGACGGCCACACUGGGACUGAGACACGGGCCCAGACUCCUACGGGAGGCAGCAGUGGGGAAUUGUUCGCAAUGGGCGCAAGCCUGACGACGCAACGCCNCGUGGAGGACGAAGAUCUUGGGUCGUAAAACUCCUGUCGAGCGGGACGAAUGACCCGCGGGUG
RNAcentral lists this ribosomal RNA (451 nucleotides) under uncultured bacterium. RNAcentral's name for it is "bacterial SSU rRNA". It matches the Rfam family "Bacterial small subunit ribosomal RNA", at positions 29 to 469 of the family's 1533-position model. The record is from RNAcentral.